This 22-nucleotide non-coding RNA is filed under the name Rattus norvegicus (Norway rat). Lineage: Eukaryota; Metazoa; Chordata; Mammalia; Rodentia; Muridae. The record is from RNAcentral.
UCAACAGAGGGUGUCUGUCUAU